RNAcentral lists this transfer RNA (72 nucleotides) under Sphaerobolus stellatus SS14. Its description in RNAcentral is "tRNA-Thr (CGT) (tRNA-Thr-CGT-5-1)". It matches the Rfam family "tRNA". From Rfam's summary of the family: Transfer RNA (tRNA) molecules are approximately 80 nucleotides in length. The record is from RNAcentral. Lineage: Eukaryota; Fungi; Basidiomycota; Agaricomycetes; Geastrales; Sphaerobolaceae.
GUCCGCUUAGCAUAGUGGUAGUGCGCAUCACUCGUAAUGAUGAGGUCACUUGUUCAAUCUAGGCAGUAGGCA